Molecule: long non-coding RNA, 1384 nt
Filed under: Mus musculus (house mouse)
Lineage: Eukaryota; Metazoa; Chordata; Mammalia; Rodentia; Muridae
Description: long non-coding RNA chr15:84055207-84056591
Source: RNAcentral
GACUGUCCAAGUUCCUGAGGGCUGGCUGCCGCUGCCUCCACAGGCCCCAGGCAUCACUCUGGAAACUGCCGCCCUGGAUCUCAAAACUAAUGUCACUUUCCUGAGAAGCCCUUGUGGAAACCUCUGCGCAGACCAGCCUCCCUUACGCCGUGACAGGGACCUCGGCCAUCCUUCACCCACUUUGUGAUGAUGUGUCUAUUGGUGUGAGACUUUGAAAACUGAAACCAUGGAGCUGGAGAGAUGGCUCGGUGACUAAGAGCACUUCCUGCUCCUACAGAGGACUUGAGUUCUAUGCCCAGAGCCUACACUAAAAAAUAAAAUAAAAUAAAAUCCGAAAUGGAGGUACACACAAAAUCCCGGUGCUGGGGAGAUAUGAGGCAGGAGAGUACCGGGGGCAUUCCUAUGAAAUUGAUUUGUAAAAGGCAGAAGACAGCAUCCUAAGGAUGACACAGAAGAUUGACCUCCUGCUUCCACACUCACAUGCAUCUCACACAAAAAUAAGACAAAAAAAUACAAAAUUAUAUUAUUCCAUUCUUAAAAAGUAGAUUGCCAGCAGAGGAAUGGGUGGUGGACACUAAUCAUCCUACCAGAGGGAGGAUUAUGGCCAGUCUGGACGACACAGAAGACCCUCACCCCGCCCCCCAUUCACACACACCUCAAAUUACUACAGCCUAUUAAUGUUCUAACAAAUGCUGCCAAAUUAUACUGUUAAGCUUCAAUAAAAACUGUCCUGAGAUAUGGGAGGCAUGGGGGCUCUUAGCUCACAGAUAAGCACUAGUAGACUCAUGAGUGCUGAGCACACACAGUUGUCUCUUCAAGGGGAGAGAUGUAUAACCUGUUUUCUGUCCAAAAGACUGGGAGCGAAUAUGGUUAAUGACCUGGUGACCUUCAUACUUCCUUAGGAGUCAAGACCUCUCCAGACCCUUCUCACGAGCUUGUUUUUUCUCAGUCAAUCUAUAAAACCUAGCUUUAUGGAAGAUGUGAGGUAUAUUUUACAAAGUUCCAAUACAGUCAAGCCUUUGGCUUCAUUAAGCCUCCACGUACUGCAGUUCCCACGGAGGCCUGUUGGAGGUGCUAGACCCCAUGGAAUUGAAGUUGAGGACCGUUGUAAGCCAUGGACCAUGUAGAUGGUUGAGGGGUUGUUAUCACUAGAAAAAAAUUCACCAAAUUGUGCUGUACUUAAAUUCGCCAAAAAGAAACAACUCAGGGUCAGACUCUUGAUGUUUAGGUUAAACCAGCACCUGCUACUGAGUUGUGUUGAACAGAACUUCUGGGCUUCUUGCUUCUUGUAAACCAUCACUCUGUGGACCGAGGUCACCUCAGAGACCCCCACAACGGGCGAAAAAGAAAGACACUCCUGAAUCCAAAUAAAAUUUUAAACUCU